Molecule: long non-coding RNA, 660 nt
Organism: Erinaceus europaeus (western European hedgehog)
Lineage: Eukaryota; Metazoa; Chordata; Mammalia; Eulipotyphla; Erinaceidae
Exons: 2
Source: RefSeq, a predicted model, not a curated record
GAAUUUUUAAGGACUCCUGGCUCAAGACCACAUGGUGGCCUAGUCUGUUCCUUCUCUUCUGCUAUUUUCCCUAAUAAAUAUUUCACAUUUAUAAACCCCACAUGAAGAAAAACCUGGGUGCACAGUAAGCUGUUCUCUGCUGGGUGAGCCACCAGCUGGCCCCACAUUUUAUCUAUUUUCUUUUUGGUUUGUUCGUUUUAACAUGGACAUCUUUUUAAAUUUAAAAACAGUCUCCGAAUGGGGAAAGAUCACUUUGCAAAGGCAAUUGUGGAAUUAGUCAUAGUUUUUGUAUGUUACAAAAAGAGAGAGAAUUGUUUUCACUUGUACUACACAGAGACUAUCAGAUUUCAUCGCCACUGUAUCAGGCCAAGUUAACUACGACUUUCCGGCACAGCCAACAAUUAGAGCAGCAAGAAGCUCCCCGACUGGCACUGGUCCCAACACUGCACUGCUCACCGCAGAGGGUGGGGCAGCUGGAAUCAAACAGCAGGUCAGAGCCACCAUGUUACAGUUGCUACUAUGAUGCCAUCCUACAACUCCCACCUUCUACACCCCAAAAAGAAUUCUGACCCAUACUCCCAGUGGGGGAGAAAUGUUAGGGGAAGAUGACCAGAGGACUCUGAACCCCAAUUCCAUCAGGACCUGAAUCUGGAAAAAGAA